UCCUUCGGGGAUGUGAGAGUGGCGAACGGGUGAGUAACACGUAGGUGAUCUACCGCUUGGCGGGGGAUAGCCCAUGGAAACACGGGGUAAUACCGCAUACGACCGAUCUGCUGUGGCGGGUUGGGGAAAGGCGCUUAGGCGUCACCGAGCGAUGAGCCUGCGGCUGAUUAGCUAGUUGGUAGGGUAACGGCCUACCAAGGCAACGAUCAGUAGCCGGCCUGAGAGGGUGAUCGGCCACACUGGGACUGAGAUACGGCCCAGACAACUACGGUUGGCAGCAGCUAAGAAUCUUCCGCAAUGGACGAAAGUCUGACGGAGCGACGCCGCGUGGGCGAUGAAGGCCGUGAGGUUGUAAAGCCCUUUUCUAUCGGAGGAAUAAGCCUGGGAGGGAAUGCCCGGGUGAUGACGGUACGGUAGGAAUAAGCCCCGGCCAAUUACGUGCCAGCAGCCGCGGUAACACGUAAGGGGCGAGCGUUGUUCGGAAUUAUUGGGCGUAAAGGGCACGUAGGCGGCACGGUAAGCCUGGUGUGAAAGACCGCAGCUUAACUGCGGAGACGCGCUGGGAACUGCCGAGCUUGAGUGCUGGAGGGGGAGCUGGAAUUCCAGGUGUAGGGGUGAAAUCUGUAGAUAUCUGGAAGAACACCGGUGGUGAAGACGAGCUCCUGGCCAGAUACUGACGCUGAGGUGCGAAAGCGUGGGGAGCGAACAGGAUUAGAUACCCUGGUAGUACACGCCGUAAACGAUGUGCACUAGGUGUAGGGUUCAUUAGCGACUCAGUGCCGUAGCUAACGCGUUAAGUGCACCGACUGGGGAGUAUGCUCGCAAGAGUGA
Molecule: ribosomal RNA, 831 nt
Filed under: uncultured organism
Description: bacterial SSU rRNA
Rfam family: Bacterial small subunit ribosomal RNA
Source: RNAcentral